CCAGCCCAAGGUUUUCGGGCUAUGGUUGGGGGAUUGGUACACGUAGCCCACUUAAUUUCCCCGUAAUUGGUGGUGAUACGGACCGUCUGCCCUUUAUAAAUCACAAUAUCCUUGGGCGUAGUUUUGGAAAUCAGCGGAGGAACAUCUCGCCCAACUGCAAUUUUGAGGGUCAUCGCCAAGGUUUUCCUUGAUUUAAGGUUUCACUGGUAUCUUAAGUAUUCCAUUCAUAGGCUGUCUUGUACAUGUUUAUAAGUUGCACGCUUAUGCAUAUGUGCACUGCCCUUAUCAUCAUAAACUUUUUUGUCUGUAUCUUAGAUAAUAUGUGCUAUCGUAAUUUCCAGUUAUUCCUUGCUAUGAUAUCAAAGUACCUCUGCUCUCUUCUCGGACUAUUGAUCUAGCCAAUGUCAUGGUCGGAUGUGUAAUAAAUAGCUUUGGGCUCAGGGUUACCGAGAGCUUAACUUUGCUCUAUAUACAUGUUUUGGUAUCAGCUUUCAUCUGGCAGCUUAAUAAGUWAUUUUGUUACUCCCUCCGACCCAUAUUAAUUG
Molecule: long non-coding RNA, 545 nt
Filed under: Hordeum vulgare
Lineage: Eukaryota; Viridiplantae; Streptophyta; Magnoliopsida; Poales; Poaceae
Description: long non-coding RNA (HVUL_LNC009841)
Source: RNAcentral